AACGAACGCUGGCGGCAUGCCUAACACAUGCGAGUCGAACGAGACCUUCGGGUCUAGUGGCGCACGGGUGCGUAACGCGUGGGAACCUGCCCUUAGGUUCGGAAUAACUCCCCGAAAGGGGUGCUAAUACCGGAUAAUGUCUUCGGACCAAAGAUUUAUCGCCUUUGGAUGGGCCCGCGUUGGAUUAGCUAGUUGGUAGGGUAAAAGCCUACCAAGGCGACGAUCCAUAGCUGGUCUGAGAGGAUGAUCAGCCACACUGGGACUGGGACACGGCCCAGACUCCUACGGGAGGCAGCAGUGGGGAAUAUUGGACGAUGGGCGAAAGCCUGAUCCAGCAAUGCCGCGUGAGUGAUGAAGGCCUGAGGGUUGUAAAGCUCUUUUAACCGGGAUGAUAAUGACAGUACCGGGAGAAUAAGCGCCGGCUAACUCCGUG
This 433-nucleotide ribosomal RNA is filed under the name uncultured bacterium. RNAcentral describes it as "partial 16S ribosomal RNA". It matches the Rfam family "Bacterial small subunit ribosomal RNA", at positions 29 to 507 of the family's 1533-position model. The record is from RNAcentral.